CCUACGGGGGGCUGCAGUAAGGAAUAUUGGUCAAUGGACGCAAGUCUGAACCAGCCAUGCCGCGUGGAGGAUGAAGGUCCUCUGGAUUGUAAACUUCUUUUAUUUGGGAAGAAACUCCCGAUUUCCAUCGGGAUUGACGGUACCAGAUGAAUAAGCACCGGCUAACUCCGUGCCAGCAGCCGCGGUAAUACGGAGGGUGCGAGCGCUAUCCGGAUUAGGGGGGUUUAGGUGGUCAGGUGAGGGGCUGGUAAAAUCUCCGGGCUUAACCCGGAAACUGCCAUUGAUACUAUUUGUCUUGAAUACUCUGGAGGUGAGCGGAAUAUGUCAUGUAGCGGUGAAAUGCUUAGAUAUGACAUAGAACACCCAUUGCGAAGGCAGCUCACUACGGAAAUAUUGACGCUGAGGCACGAAAGCGUGGGGAUCAAACAGGAUUAGAUACCCUAGUAGUC
Molecule: ribosomal RNA, 449 nt
Filed under: uncultured bacterium
Lineage: Bacteria
Description: partial 16S ribosomal RNA
Rfam family: Bacterial small subunit ribosomal RNA
Source: RNAcentral